GUCUGUUUUCCUCCCUUCAUGUUAUGUCAAGUUUUCAGCUAAAUAAAUGGCUGGUCUUUUCUGCUCUGUCUCUUCCGUGUCUGCACUUGGGUCUGCAUUAUAAACACACCGCCUCUCAGCCGGGCUGAAGGAACUGAAGCAGAUGUGGAAAUGUUGCAGAAUCACAUGGAUGAAUUUAACAACUGGACACAGUCGAAGCGGGAUGGUUGGCAGGAGGAGAUCUCACUCUGUGUUUCUCUGCCAGUGGUAGAGGUGGAACCAGAUCAAGUGGAGCUGAAAAGCCUCAAGUCAGAGCUGGACUGACCUUUUCUCACCAGGUACUGAUGAGCCCGCUGUGGAGAAACAUCAUUGAUUAUAUUUGUGAGUCCAAACUUGACUCUGGUAACUUUAAUACAGUAUAGAAAAAGUGUCAUAAUAAUAAUGUUAUUAUUGUGAUAAUAACAUGAACAGAUGUAUUUAUGUCAUUAUCUUUGAGCUUUUACACUUAAUUAUAAAAACAUGAGUAUAAAAGGUGUUAAAACCCUGAUGCUGUCUUGGAAUACUGCAAUUUUGCUCAUGUAAUUACAACAUUUACUCUUUAAAAGAACAAAUCAUACAUGUAUC
Oreochromis niloticus (Nile tilapia) is the source of this 603-nucleotide long non-coding RNA. RefSeq lists it as uncharacterized. Lineage: Eukaryota; Metazoa; Chordata; Actinopteri; Cichliformes; Cichlidae. The record is from RefSeq and is a predicted model, not a curated record. The transcript has 3 exons.